Molecule: ribosomal RNA, 1268 nt
Filed under: uncultured bacterium
Lineage: Bacteria
Description: bacterial SSU rRNA
Rfam family: Bacterial small subunit ribosomal RNA
Source: RNAcentral
GACGUACGAGGCAGUGAUUAGAGUUUGAUCCUGGCUCAGGACGAACGCUGGCGGCGUGCCUAACACAUGCAAGUCGAACGAAGCUCUGCGAUACAAGACUUCGGUCAAGUUGAACGGAUGACUUAGUGGCGGACGGGUGAGUAACGCGUGAGGAACCUGCCUUUCAGUGGGGGACAACAGUUGGAAACGACUGCUAAUACCGCAUAAUGUAUUCUGACCGCAUGAUCGGAAUACCAAAGAUUUAUUGCUGGAAGAUGGCCUCGCGUCUGAUUAGAUAGUUGGUGAGGUAACGGCUCACCAAGUCGACGAUCAGUAGCCGGACUGAGAGGUUGAACGGCCACAUUGGGACUGAGAUACGGCCCAGACUCCUACGGGAGGCAGCAGUGGGGAAUAUUGGGCAAUGGGGGAAACCCUGACCCAGCAACGCCGCGUGAAGGAAGAAGGCUUUCGGGUUGUAAACUUCUUUUACCAGGGACGAAGGACGUGACGGUACCUGGAGAAAAAGCCACGGCUAACUACGUGCCAGCAGCCGCGGUAAUACGUAGGUGGCAAGCGUUGUCCGGAUUUACUGGGUGUAAAGGGCGUGUAGGCGGAGAAGCAAGUCAGAAGUGAAAUCCAUGGGCUUAACCCAUGAACUGCUUUUGAAACUGUUUCCCUUGAGUAUCGGAGAGGCAGGCGGAAUUCCUAGUGUAGCGGUGAAAUGCGUAGAUAUUAGGAGGAACACCAGUGGCGAAAGCGGCCUGCUGGACGACAACUGACGCUGACGCGCGAAAGCGUGGGGAGCAAACAGGAUUAGAUACCCUGGUAGUCCACGCUGUAAACGAUGAAUACUAUGUGUGGGAGGACUGACCCCUUCCGUGCCGCAGUUAACACAAUAAGUAUUCCACCUGGGGAGUACGAUCGCAAGAUUGAAACUCAAAGGAAUUGACGGGGCCCGCACAAGCAGUGGAUUAUGUGGUUUAAUUCGACGCACGCGAAGAACCUUACCGGGAUUUGACAUCCUACUAACGAGCAGAGAUGCAUUAGGUGCCCUUCAGGGAAGUAGAGACAGUGGUGCAUGUGUCGUCACCUCUGUCUUGGAAUGAUUGUUAGUUCCCGCCACAGCGCAACCCCUAUUGUUUAGUUGCUAUCUCAAGAGACACUCUAUCGACCGUCGCCUUGUCUAAACAGGAGAGAGGGCGGGACAAAUCAAUCUCAUUGCCUAUGUUCCGGCGCUACACGUAUAUCAAUUGGCGUUCACAAAGGGAAGCAAAACCCCAAGCGCGGAC